GACGAACGCUGGCGGCGUGCUUAACACAUGCAAGUCGAGCGGUAAGGCCCUUUCGGGGGUACACGAGCGGCGAACGGGUGAGUAACACGUGGGUGACCUGCCCUCAGCUCUGGGAUAAGCCUGGGAAACCGGGUCUAAUACUGGAUAUGACUCCAUGACGCAUGUUGUGGGGUGGAAAGCCUUGUGCGGCUGAGGAUGGGCCCGCGGCCUAUCAGCUUGUUGGUGGGGUGANGGCCUACCAAGGCGACGACGGGUAGCCGGCCUGAGAGGGCGACCGGCCACACUGGGACUGAGACACGGCCCAGACUCCUACGGGAGGCAGCAGUGGGGAAUCUUGCGCAAUGGGCGAAAGCCUGACGCAGCGACGCCGCGUGGAGGAUGAAGGUCUUCGGAUUGUAAACUCCUGUUGACCGGGACGAAUGGGCCUCGACCUAACACGUCGGGGCAGUGACGGUACCGG
RNAcentral lists this ribosomal RNA (460 nucleotides) under uncultured bacterium. RNAcentral's name for it is "bacterial SSU rRNA". It matches the Rfam family "Bacterial small subunit ribosomal RNA", at positions 28 to 481 of the family's 1533-position model. The record is from RNAcentral.